CCUACGGGGGACAGCAGUGAGGAAUAUUGGUCCAUGGGCGCGAGCCUGAACCAGCCAAGUAGCGUGAAGGAUGACUGCCCUACGGGUUGUCCACUUCUUUUCUAAAGGAAUAACUUGAGUCACUUGUGCCUUUUUGUAUGUACUUUAUGCAUAAGGCUCGGCUAACUCCGUGCCAUCAGCCGCGGUACUCCGGAGGGUCCGAGCGUUAUCCGGAUUUAUUGGGUUUAAAGGGAGCGUAGAUGGGUUGUUAAGUCAGUUGUGAAAGUUUGCGGCUCAACCGUAAAAUUGCAAGUGAUACUGGCAGUCUUGAGUACAGUUGAGGUAGGCGGAAUUCGUGGUGUAGCGGUGAAAUGCUUAGAUAUCACGAAGAACUCCGAUUGCGAAGGCAGCUUACUAAACUGCCACUGACAUUGAUGCUCGAAAGUGUGGGUAUCAAACAGGAUUAGAUACCCUUGUAGUC
RNAcentral lists this ribosomal RNA (460 nucleotides) under uncultured bacterium. RNAcentral's name for it is "partial 16S ribosomal RNA". It matches the Rfam family "Bacterial small subunit ribosomal RNA", at positions 338 to 795 of the family's 1533-position model. The record is from RNAcentral.